This 70-nucleotide transfer RNA is filed under the name Camelus bactrianus (Bactrian camel). It matches the Rfam family "tRNA". From Rfam's summary of the family: Transfer RNA (tRNA) molecules are approximately 80 nucleotides in length. The record is from Rfam by way of RNAcentral. RNAcentral also lists the same sequence under 2 other names. Lineage: Eukaryota; Metazoa; Chordata; Mammalia; Artiodactyla; Camelidae.
GGAGAUAGCUCAGUGGUAGAGUGCCUGUCUAGCAUGCAGAAGGUCCUGGGUUCAAUCCACAGUACCUCCA